GAGACAGUCUCGCUCUGUUGCCUAGGGUGGAGUGCAGUGGUGUGAUCUCCGCUCACUGCAAACUCCGCCUUCUGGGUUCAAGCGAUUUUCCUGCCUUAGUCUCCCGAGUACUUAGGAUUACAGGCGUGUACCACCACACCCGGCUAAUUUUGUAUUUUUAGUAGAGACAGCGUUUCACCAUGCUGGCCAGGCUGAUCUUGAACUCCUGAUCUCAAGUGAUCCUCCUGCCUCAGCCUCCCUAAGUGCUAGGAUUACAGGCAUGAGCCACUGCGCCUGGCCUGAUGCUAAUGUUUUAGCACCCAAACAGAUGCUCCUCUCCCAAAGAGAAGCCGGAACAGACAUCACAGUGAUGAAUGGGGGAAAAUAUAUCAUUUGCCCACAUAACUCAAGGAACAAAUUAAGUUUUUCAUUACUGAUAUAGAUAUAGUUCAUAGCAGCCUUCAAGGAACUGUGGAACUUUGGAAAUAGAACUUCUGUGUAAAUUCUAAACCUGUUGCUCAACAGUACUGUCCUGAAGACUAAGUCCUUAAAUGCAAAUAAGUCUUUUCCUUUAAACCUGUCUUUAAGGAUUGUUUUCCACCAGGUAAAUUAAGGACUUGAGAGAUCAAAAUGUUUUGUUAGAGUCUUCUUAGAGACAAACACUAUUUUAUACACAGUAAAAUUAGGUUGAGAAGUUUGAAACGCAAAGAUUCUUCAGAUCUCGCUGGUGCUGGAAAACACCUCUUACUGUGAAUUGUGUUGUGCUGCCAUUUUCCUGCCUUUCUGCCUCCCACACAGAUGAGGACCUUUCAUCUCCUGGUUCUUUCCCUAUUUGAAGGGCUUUAGACACCAGAUCAACAAAACAUACUCAUCUUAGGCUCAAGCCCUAAUUUUACAUAGCAUACAUAAGCACCAUAAUACAAGCUGCAAAAUGAUAGAGUUAUAGGUGUUUCUUUUAAAAGAUUCCUUAAUUCCAUGUCCUCCUGGUUCUUAAGAUUGGCUUGGUAACACAAAAAUCUUCUCAUAAAAACAGAAUCUUGCUUUGGCUGGCAGUUACCGUUUUACAAGUGCCAAAUAGUUUCUAUGGGUUGUGGUGAAGGAGAAUCUGGGCACAUGAGCGCUACGAAAGUUUUUUUUAAAUUAUACAUGAUGUACUAAAAAGUGGUCACAAAAUGUGUAUUCAGCACUCAGCAGUGAACCUACCAAGACUAGACCAUACUGAGCACAGUCCGAGUGAUUUAAUAUACAAGAAGGCAGACCCUUCUAGAAAUGGUUUACAGAACUAUCUGCAAUCGUGCUUAGUCUUUUAAUUAUCUUGUGCUACUAAUACAUGGUUAGUCUUAUCCACUUUCAACUUACAGACUGUUAAAUCUUUGUACUAUGAAAUACUUAAGCAAUUAUGGAAAAACAUUUUUUUUCUGGAGACAGUCUCACUCUGUCGUCCAGGUUGGAGUGCAGUGGCACGAUCUUGGCUCACCGUAACCUCUGCCUCCCAGGUUCAAGUGAUUCUCCUGUGUCAGCCUCCCGAGUAGCGGGAACUACAGGUGUGUACCACCACACCUGGCUAAUUAUUUUGUGUUUUUAGUAGAAAUGGGGUUUCACCAUGUUGGUCAGGCUGGUCUUUAACUCCUGGCCUCAAGUGAUCCGCCUGUCUUGGCCUCAACAAAGUGCUGGGAUUAUAGACAUGAGCCACCGUGCCCAGCCAGAAAAACAUUUUUAAUAAGUAAUUUUUAAACCGGAUUAACACAACUUAUAAUGCAGUAGCUAUACUUUUGUUUAAUCAACAUAUCAGUCUCCUUCAUAAUAAGUGAUAUUUCCAAACAAGAUGUGUCUGGGAAAAAAAAAAAAAAAAAGAAGGAAAGAAGUCAUCCCAAUUCUGGAGAAGCCUCCUUUUCAGAUCAUCACAAACAUUUCACUAAAUGUCUCCCCUUGCAAGUCCUUUGGUAAAUCUGAUGUAAGAUGGAUAUACAGAUACAAAGGAGCACUCCUGUGCCUCGCUGUUAUAAAGCAAUAGCAAUUCUAAAAUAUAUUCACUCAAUAGUCUACAAAAACUUAUUAAGCAUCUAUUACAUGUGAACCCAUAAAUGGCAGAUUGCACAUUCUUAAAUGCUGGAAAGGAUCUGUGUGUUAAACUCUUCCUCAAAGACACAAGACGACAUCUUUCAGCAAUCACAUGUAAAUCUAUUAUUCUGUUCUCUUUAGUUUGUUGAGAGGCUCCACUCCCAGAGAAACUUGGUCAAUUAAAAAACAUCAAGGAAUAAACCACUUUUUCUACAAAAUAAAGUCCUUUUCAAUAGCCUUUAAAUACACCUAAAAUACCCACAUCAUUCCUUAUACCAGUUAUUUAUUUAUUUAUUUUUAUUGAGACGGAGUCUCGCUCUGUUGCCCAGGCUGGAGUGCAGUGGCACGAUCUCAGCUCACUGCAAGUUCCGCCUGCCAGGUUCACACCAUUCUCCUGCCUCAGCCUCUCCAAGUAGCUGGGACUACAGGUGCCCGCCACCACGCCCGGCUAAUUUUUUUUUUGUAUUUUUAGUAGAGACGGGGUUUCACCGUGGUCUCUAUCUCCUGACCUUGUGAUCCGCCUGCCUCGGCCUCCCGAAGUGCUGGGAUUACAAGCGUGGGUGGAUCACCUCAUGUCAGGAGUUCGAGACCAGCCUGACCAACACGGUGAAACCCUGUCUCUACUAAAAAUACAAAAUUAGCCAGGUGUGGUGGCACACGCCUGUAAUCCCAGCUACUUGGGAGGCUGAGGCAGGAGAACUGCUUGAACCCAGGAGGCCGAGGUGAGCCAACAUGGCGCCAUUGCACUCCAACCUGGGCAACAAGAGCGAAACUCCGUUUCAGAAAGAAAGAAAAGAAAAGCAUUAUACAAAUCCAGUGUGGUGAGUUUAAAACCAUUCACUGAGCUUUGUACAACUUCAAUAAUUUCCUUAUGCUUCCAUUUCCUCAUCCUCAAAGUAGGUUAACUUGUCUACUAAUUACUACCUCAGAGAUAUGGUACAGCAAUGUGCUUUCAGCUUCUAGAGGGAAAGUGUUAAAAGCAGGAAGCAGUAUUAACCCACAUAGUGUAUUUUGCAUUGCCCUGACAAAAGACCAGAAAAUCUUGAACACUCUUAGAAAACUCCUUUUUUAUCUGAAUGUUCACAAGCUGCUAGUGGUCAACGAAGCUUGAUUCGUAACCCUAUCUCACAAUAGAAAACAAUGCUAAAUUCGUUCUAUGAGUUUGAAAAUCAUGUUUAACAUAAACAAUCUGAGAAAUCAAAGGGUUUUUUUAAAAAAAGCAAACUACAAAAGAUACUAUGACCAAGAAGCUUAUUGAGCCAGUCAUGUUUAAUGACAGCUUCAGUCAUCAAUUCUCAUGUCUCUAUAUUUAAAGAACAUAGGCUUUACAUUCUUGCCAAUAACUUUUCCUGUACUUACUUUCUAAUUAAAUCAAGAGUAAAGAUGAAAUUCAAACUGCAUAAAAUUUGUUUCUCUAAUAUUAUAGCCAGAAGUAAAAAUCAUUCUCCACACAACUCAUUAAAGAAUUCAAAAGUACCACUGAUUAUCAACAGGCCAGAAAUUAUAAAGCCAAAUUAUAUGUACCUUUUUUAAAAAGAGGGCGUUCCAGGAACAAUGUUGUCUUUGUUCAGUUCUGAGAGGUUAAGUGGUUAAUAAACUCUGGAAAAUAAAAAAUAAUAAUAAUUUAGUAGGGUAGGUCUUUUCUCUGAAACUGAAG
RNAcentral lists this long non-coding RNA (3697 nucleotides) under Homo sapiens (human). Its description in RNAcentral is "non-protein coding lnc-DDX27-3:1". The record is from RNAcentral. Lineage: Eukaryota; Metazoa; Chordata; Mammalia; Primates; Hominidae.